CAUGUAUCCUGUUUUAUAGUUUCUUGAUGAGAAAUGAUUCAGACCAGACUUAAUAUAUGUUGUGUUUCGAAAACCCAGUGAAUGAUAACUGUGAGGGAAGACAGGGAUUCAUUCCUUUGACCCAAGACCAGUGCAAUAGGAAAGACCAGGUUUGAUUCCUGUGAUCCAUAGAGAGAGGCCAUUAGAGAAGACCAGGUUUGAUUCCUGUGACUCUAUGGUAGCCAAGUUAACUUAUGAUAUGCUGACCCUUACAGAGUGGGUUCUAUGCUGCAGAGCGCAUAGGGUAUGGAGGUUACUUGGUAGAGUAUCACUGGUGUAUUAUAGAUAGCCUGAGGGCUAGCUCAGAUUAGUAUAUCUGAGUAUUUUGGUUCAUAUGCAUGGACCUACAGAGAGUGUUUUAAAGGUUAAGUCUGGUAGUUUUAAAGUAAAGUUUUAACAGUUAGUAGUCCAGUUGGAUCAUGUAUGGGAUUUUCACAGGUACACAGAGUUCAUAGCAGGCUUACUACGGGUCUAGGCGGCCUUAAGCCGAUCUGGAUCCUAGUGCCGAGCAGUUUGGGCCGUUACAAAGAGGGUACCGGUUUCCGGGCUGUUACA
This 594-nucleotide long non-coding RNA is filed under the name Manihot esculenta (cassava). RNAcentral's name for it is "long non-coding RNA (MESC_LNC006657)". Lineage: Eukaryota; Viridiplantae; Streptophyta; Magnoliopsida; Malpighiales; Euphorbiaceae. The record is from RNAcentral.